Pygocentrus nattereri (red-bellied piranha) is the source of this 134-nucleotide small nucleolar RNA. Its record names the gene U8. It matches the Rfam family "U8 small nucleolar RNA". From Rfam's summary of the family: U8 is a member of the C/D class of snoRNA which contain the C (UGAUGA) and D (CUGA) box motifs. U8 is the RNA component of a small complex (the U8 snoRNP) which is required for accumulation of mature large subunit ribosomal RNAs, 5.8S and 28S rRNAs. The record is from Ensembl. Lineage: Eukaryota; Metazoa; Chordata; Actinopteri; Characiformes; Serrasalmidae.
AUAUCAGUGGAGGUAUAUCCUUACCUGUUACCAUAGAGAUGUGGUAGCAGAACAUGAUGAUUGGGAUUAAUGAAUGUGUGAUUAUGAUCCACAUUUGUCAAGGAGCUUCAACACCUUGAUGAAUCCAGUCUGAU